RNAcentral lists this unclassified non-coding RNA (330 nucleotides) under soil metagenome. RNAcentral describes it as "partial contains 5.8S ribosomal RNA, internal transcribed spacer 2, and large subunit ribosomal RNA". The stretch from base 1 to 120 matches the Rfam family "5.8S ribosomal RNA", at positions 35 to 154 of the family's 154-position model. The record is from RNAcentral.
GAUGAAGAACGCAGUGAAAUGCGAUAAGUAAUGUGAAUUGCAGAAUCUCGUGAAUCAUCGAAUCUUUGAACGCACAUUGCGCCCCUUGGUAUUCCGAGGGGCAUGCCUGUUCGAGCGUCAUUUCAACCCUCAAGCACAGCUUGGUCUUGGGCUUCGCCGCUAACCCGGCGGGUCUUAAAAUCAGUGGCGGUGCCGUCGGGCCCUGAGCGCAGUAAUCUCUCUCGCUAUAGGGUCCCGGCGGAUGCUGGCCAGUAACCCCCAAUUUUCUAUGGUUGACCUCGGAUCAGGUAGGGAUACCCGCUGAACUUAAGCAUAUCAAUAAGCGGAGGA